UACAGGGGGUGCAAACGUUGCUCGGAAUUAUUGGGCGUAAAGCGCUCGUAGGCUGCUACUUAAGUCGGAUGUGAAAGCCCCUGGCUCAACUGGGGAAGUGCACCCGAAACUGAGUGGCUUGAGUGCGAAAGAGGGUCGCGGAAUUCCCGGUGUAGAGGUGAAAUUCGUAGAUAUCGGGAGGAACACCGGUGGCGAAGGCGGCGACCUGGGUCGACACUGACGCUGAGGCGCGAAAGCGUGGGGAGCAAACAGG
RNAcentral lists this ribosomal RNA (253 nucleotides) under uncultured bacterium. RNAcentral describes it as "partial 16S ribosomal RNA". It matches the Rfam family "Bacterial small subunit ribosomal RNA", at positions 524 to 776 of the family's 1533-position model. The record is from RNAcentral.